AUGAACGCUGGCGGCGUGCCUCAUACAUGCAAGUCGAGCGAACAGACGAGGAGCUUGCUCCUCUGACGUUAGCGGCGGACGGGUGAGUAACACGUGGAUAACCUACCUAUAAGACUGGGAUAACUUCGGGAAACCGGAGCUAAUCCCGGAUAAUAUAUUGAACCGCAUGGUUCAAUAGUGAAAGACGGUUUUGCUGUCACUUAUAGAUGGAUCCGCGCCGCAUUAGCUAGUUGGUAAGGUAACGGCUUACCAAGGCGACGAUGCGUAGCCGACCUGAGAGGGUGAUCGGCCACACUGGAACUGAGACACGGUCCAGACUCCUACGGGAGGCAGCAGUAGGGAAUCUUCCGCAAUGGGCGAAAGCCUGACGGAGCAACGCCGCGUGAGUGAUGAAGGUCUUCGGAUCGUAAAACUCUGUUAUUAGGGAAGAACAAAUGUGUAAGUAACUAUGCACGUCUUGACGGUACCUAAUCAGGAAGCCACGGCUAACUACGUG
Molecule: ribosomal RNA, 496 nt
Filed under: uncultured bacterium
Lineage: Bacteria
Description: partial 16S ribosomal RNA
Rfam family: Bacterial small subunit ribosomal RNA
Source: RNAcentral